UCAGGACGAACGCUGGCGGCGUGCUUAACACAUGCAAGUCGAGCGGAAAGGCCCUUCGGGGUACUCGAGCGGCGAACGGGUGAGUAACACGUGAGCAACCUGCCCUAGGCUUUGGGAUAACCCUCGGAAACGGGGGCUAAUACCGAAUAUGACUGCUGGCCGCAUGGCUGGUGGUGGAAAGUUUUUCGGCCUGGGAUGGGCUCGCGGCCUAUCAGCUUGUUGGUGGGGUAAUGGCCUACCAAGGCGACGACGGGUAGCCGGCCUGAGAGGGCGACCGGCCACACUGGGACUGAGACACGGCCCAGACUCCUACGGGAGGCAGCAGUGGGGAAUAUUGCACAAUGGGCGGAAGCCUGAUGCAGCGACGCCGCGUGAGGGAUGACGGCCUUCGGGUUGUAAACCUCUUUCAGCAGGGACGAAGCGUGAGUGACGGUACCUGCAGAAGAAGCACCGGCCAACUACGUGCCAGCAGCCGCGGUAAGACGUAGGGUGCGAGCGUUGUCCGGAUUUAUUGGGCGUAAAGAGCUCGUAGGCGGCUUGUCGCGUCGACUGUGAAAACCCGCAGCUCAACUGCGGGCCUGCAGUCGAUACGGGCAGGCUAGAGUUCGGUAGGGGAGACUGGAAUUCCUGGUGUAGCGGUGAAAUGCGCAGAUAUCAGGAGGAACACCGAUGGCGAAGGCAGGUCUCUGGGCCGAUACUGAC
Molecule: ribosomal RNA, 702 nt
Filed under: Microbispora sp. L1869
Lineage: Bacteria; Bacillati; Actinomycetota; Actinomycetes; Streptosporangiales; Streptosporangiaceae
Description: bacterial SSU rRNA
Rfam family: Bacterial small subunit ribosomal RNA
Source: RNAcentral